This is a long non-coding RNA of Tachysurus fulvidraco (yellow catfish), 947 nucleotides long. RefSeq lists it as uncharacterized. The record is from RefSeq and is a predicted model, not a curated record. NCBI's taxonomy places the organism in Eukaryota, Metazoa, Chordata, Actinopteri, Siluriformes, Bagridae. The transcript has 3 exons.
AUGUCUGUGUCUGUGUGUGUGCUGGUGUUUCUGUCAUGUGUGAAAGGUGUGAAAGUGCAGUACAAACUCGGAGGCCAAUGAUGAUCCUGUCACUAUUCCUUAUGAUGGCUAUAUUUCAAUCAGACAUAUUCAGCUACUCCAGCUGCAGCUUUACUUCCACUUGUGUUCUAGGUAAAAAACACAGUUUUUAUACGUGGAUAAUUAACUGAGGUACUUACAGCAUUUUGCUCUGAUUGUCCCAUCUACACUGAAUUCUGAUCAAGUGGACAGAAGACAAUAUCAUGUCCUUCCUGAGCCUAGAAGCUGAGAAUAUUUCCUAGAGUCUCACAUUGGAUCCCAACACAGCUAACAGACACCUCAGCUUGUUUGAGAAUAACAGUGUGGUGACCUGCAGUGAAGCAGUCCAGUCUUUUCCUGAUCAUCCAGAUAAAUUUGACAUUGUAUAUCAAGUGCUGUGUAAAAAAAAAAAGUAUGUAGAGGUUGAUUGGAGUGGAUUUGAUGGAGUGUUGUAUGAAAGCAUAAGCAGGGAUGUCACAGCUAAUGAGUGUAGGUUUGGGAAAAACAAUCAGCCUUGGAGUUUAUACUGUUCUCAGUUCAGAUGUUCAUUCAGGCACAAUAACAAACAAACUAAAACCUCUAAAAGACACAGUGCCUCUGUAAUAGGAGUGUAUGUGGAUUACAGUGCAGGUUAUCUAUCCUAUCACAGUGUCGCUAACACAAUGAAGCUCCUUCACAAAGUCCAAACUUCAUUCACUUAGCCUUACCCAGAGUUUUAUGUUUUCUCAGUCUCAACAGUGAACCUUUUUAUAACUAACUCAAGAAAAGUGACUUAUGUGGCAUCUACAAAUUGAUAUACUGUAAUGUCCAUAUUACUACAAUAAAUUAAGUUCAUUACUGUAUUUAUUUCUAAUGAAUGAGUUUAAAUAAACCUGUCAUUAUUUUAUCUA